GACGAACGCUGGCGGCGUGCUUAACACAUGCAAGUCGAACGGAAAGGCCUGCUUUCCCUUGUGGAUUGCGGGUACUCGAGUGGCGAACGGGUGAGUAACACGUGAGUGAUCUGCCCCCAACUUGGGUAUAAGCCUGGGAAACUGGGUCUAAUUCCCGAUAGGACUGCAGGGUGGUGCCUGUGGUGGAAAACGAUUUUCAGUGGUUGGGGAUGAGCUCGCGGCCUAUCAGCUUGUUGGUGGGGUAAUGGCCUACCAAGGCGGCGACGGGUAGCCGGCCUGAGAGGGUGGACGGCCACAUUGGGACUGAGAUACGGCCCAGACUCCUACGGGAGGCAGCAGUGGGGAAUAUUGCACAAUGGGCGGAAGCCUGAUGCAGCGACGCCGCGUGGGGGAUGACGGCCUUCGGGUUGUAAACUCCUUUCGACCGCGAGGAAGCCACCUGGUUGGAAGGGUGGUGACGGUAGUGGUAGAAGAAGCACCGGCUAACUACGUG
This 493-nucleotide ribosomal RNA is filed under the name uncultured bacterium. RNAcentral's name for it is "partial 16S ribosomal RNA". It matches the Rfam family "Bacterial small subunit ribosomal RNA", at positions 28 to 507 of the family's 1533-position model. The record is from RNAcentral.